This 447-nucleotide ribosomal RNA is filed under the name uncultured bacterium. Its description in RNAcentral is "partial 16S ribosomal RNA". It matches the Rfam family "Bacterial small subunit ribosomal RNA", at positions 29 to 523 of the family's 1533-position model. The record is from RNAcentral.
CACGAACGCUGGCGGCAGGCUUAACACAUGCAAGUCGAGCGCCCCGCAAGGGGAGCGGCAGACGGGUGAGUAACGCGUGGGAAUCUACCCAUCUCUACGGAAUAACGCAUGGAAACGUGUGCUAAUACCGUAUACGUCCUUCGGGAGAAAGAUUUAUCGGAGAUGGAUGAGCCCGCGUUGGAUUAGCUAGUUGGUGGGGUAAAGGCCUACCAAGGCGACGAUCCAUAGCUGGUCUGAGAGGAUGAUCAGCCACACUGGGACUGAGACACGGCCCAGACUCCUACGGGAGGCAGCAGUGGGGAAUAUUGGACAACGGGCGCAAGCCUGAUCCAGCCAUGCCGCGUGAGUGAUGAAGGCCCUAGGGUUGUAAAGCUCUUUCACCGGUGAAGAUAAUGACGGUAACCGGAGAAGAAGCCCCGGCUAACUUCGUGCCAGCCGCCGCAGUAA